AUGAGAACUCUGGAAAGAUGCCCCAAGGUAGAGCCACUGGUGAAAAUGAGAUAAAGAGUCAUUUAUUAGGUACGUGGCUUGUAGGCCCAGGCAUGCACAAAGAUGAAAUGAUGGGCAGUACAACAUCAGACAGAAGAUUGUGGUCUGCAAGCAGUCCCACCUUUUCGUCAUCAGCUCAGAACUCCGCUUCUCUGGCAGACAGGACAAAGACAGGCAAAAGUUACAGCCACGCACACCCUUGCUUUUCCUUUUAAUUGGCUCAACAACAAGGUUAUCAGAUGUGAACUGUGACUUCUCUGUCCUCCACCCAAGCUUGAUGGGAAAAUCAGAACAAGGGGAGGGGUAGCAGUCUCUCCAGCCUCUUCUCUCCUCCCUCAUUCUCUUCUGGGACAGCUGCUCCUAACCAUGCUGACCAUUUUGCUUGCUCUUCUGCCUGGUUCUGGAGUGGGUUACACCAUCACGCAGUGGCCCAAAGAUGCAAUCAAGAGAGCUGGAGAGAGUGUGGACCUCACCUGCUACCAGAAUCAUUCCACGCUUGCCUAUAUGUUCUGGUACCAGCAGCUUUCAAGGAGUAGUCUGAAGUUAAUAGCCAGCACUGCUACCUGGAUACGGAAUUCUUACGAGGAAGGUUACAGUGAAGCCAAGUUUGAGAUAAGCAGAGACAAGAACAAUCUCUCUGUUAUGACUAUCAAGAAUGUGACGUCCAAGGAUGCUGCCACUUAUUUCUGCGCUGCGAGUGAUCACACGAUGCAGCAAGAGCAUUAAGCACUCACACAAAAUCCUCACCUUGUCUGAAGGGGAGACAAAGUCUCUGUAAAAUGUGAGACAGACAGGAGAGGGGCAGAAGAAGAGCAGAAUUAAAACACGCGCAAAGUCAGGGAACGGAGCCCAGACCCGUGGGAGGGAAGAGGGCCCAGCAAAGCAAUGCAGCAGCAUCUGUCUUCAAAGACAAAAAGCCUUCAGAAACACAAACCCAUAGACCAGUAUUAAGAAUUGCGGCACCGCUGGCUAGCAAAAGGCCUUAGACACUUCUCAGGAUUAGUGCUACAGAAGCACAGCCAAGUUCUUGGCCGCUAGCUCCCCACAGGCCCAACGAUGGCACUGAGGAUAUAGUGUGGUAAAGUACAAAGCAGAAGGUGAAUUCCACGCUCUUUCACAUACUGCACAGCCAGAGAAAGGAAACCACAAAGCCUGCUCUCACAUGGUGUUUCCAUUGUGACAGACAGCUGCAGGCAGAAACUGAAUACACCUUGGCCAGAGUGCUGCCUGAGCAGACUUGUGAUUUCCCUCACACACACACACACACACACACACACACACACCCAUGCGCACACACAAACCCAUGUAGGGCACCCUUCAAGACUAGGGGAAGGAGCUGCCUUCCCUGUGAGGAAGCACAUGUUGUGUGGGCAAAGUCAUGGUCCAGUCUGCUCAGAAGAACCUCAGGCACCUCAGCAGUGAUAUGUGGGGCACUAACAUCGUGGUCUGUCGAUCAGAAAGAGCGGCAAAAAAGCAUGCCCACCAAGCAGCGCUCCGGGCCCCAGGUCAGGCCUCAGUGCACCUGCUUCCUCGCAAGGUCUCAGGAAGCCCUGUGGAAAAACAAACCUUUUCUGUUUUCUUCCAUUUCUUUUUUCCUAUACCCAUUUGAAGAACUAAUCAGCCACUCUCAACAGCACAAAAGAUAUCACGGGUGCCAGCUGGUAACGCCUUUUGAGAAGAAGGUCCCUGUGAGCCUCUCUAUGCUACUUGCUUAAAUCAACAAGAGGACACUACAGGCCUUUGCCCAGACCAAGGCUGGAGCUUGCAGCAG
Molecule: non-coding RNA, 1810 nt
Organism: Numida meleagris (helmeted guineafowl)
Lineage: Eukaryota; Metazoa; Chordata; Aves; Galliformes; Numididae
Source: the annotation of a RefSeq genome assembly